RNAcentral lists this ribosomal RNA (1473 nucleotides) under Leuconostoc mesenteroides subsp. jonggajibkimchii. Its description in RNAcentral is "partial 16S ribosomal RNA". It matches the Rfam family "Bacterial small subunit ribosomal RNA". Lineage: Bacteria; Bacillati; Bacillota; Bacilli; Lactobacillales; Lactobacillaceae. The record is from RNAcentral.
GGGGGCUAAUACAURCAGUCGAACRCACAGCGAAAGGUGCUUGCACCUUUCAAGUGAGUGGCGAACGGGUGAGUAACACGUGGACAACCUGCCUCAAGGCUGGGGAUAACAUUUGGAAACAGAUGCUAAUACCGAAUAAAACUUAGUGUCGCMUGACAUAAAGUUAAAAGGCGCUUYGGCGUCACCUAGAGAUGGAUCCGCGGUGCMUUAGUUAGUUGGUGGGGUAAAGGCCUACCAAGACAAUGAUGCAUAGCCGAGUUGAGAGAMUGAUCGGCCACAUUGGGAMUGAGACACGGCCCAAACUCCUACGGGAGGCUGCAGUAGGGAAUCUUCCACAAUGGGCGAAAGCCUGAUGGAGCAACGCCGCGUGUGUGAUGAAGGCUUUCGGGUCGUAAAGCACUGUUGUAUGGGAAGAACAGCUAGAAUAGGAAAUGAUUUUAGUUUGACGGUACCAUACCAGAAAGGGACGGCUAAAUACGUGCCAGCAGCCGCGGUAAUACGUAUGUCCCGAGCGUUAUCCGGAUUUAUUGGGCGUAAAGCGAGCGCAGACGGUUUAUUAAGUCUGAUGUGAAAGCCCGGAGCUCAACUCCGGAAUGGCAUUGGAAACUGGUUAACUUGAGUGCAGUAGAGGUAAGUGGAACUCCAUGUGUAGCGGUGGAAUGCGUAGAUAUAUGGAAGAACACCAGUGGCGAAGGCGGCUUACUGGACUGCAACUGACGUUGAGGCUCGAAAGUGUGGGUAGCAAACAGGAUUAGAUACCCUGGUAGUCCACACCGUAAACGAUGAACACUAGGUGUUAGGAGGUUUCCGCCUCUUAGUGCCGAAGCUAACGCAUUAAGUGUUCCGCCUGGGGAGUACGACCGCAAGGUUGAAACUCAAAGGAAUUGACGGGGACCCGCACAAGCGGUGGAGCAUGUGGUUUAAUUCGAAGCAACGCGAAGAACCUUACCAGGUCUUGACAUCCUUUGAAGCUUUUAGAGAUAGAAGUGUUCUCUUCGGAGAACAAAGUGACAGGKGGUGCAUGGUCGUCGUCAGCUCGKGUCCGGKGAGAUGUUGGGUUAAGUCCCGCAACGAGCGCAACCCUUAUUGUUAGUUGCCACGCWUUCCAGAUGGGGCACUCUAGCGAGAMUGCCGGKGAMAAACCGGAAGGAAGGGSGGGGACRACGUCCAGAUCAUYAUGSCCCUUAUGACAACUGGGGCUAACACACGUGSUAMAAUGGGSGUAWACAACGAGGUUGCCCAMCCCSCGAGGGGKGASCUAAUCCUCUUAAAGWACCKUCUCAKUUCGGAAUUGUAGUUCYGCMACYCSMCUCMCAUGGAAGYCGGAAAUCGCUUAGWAAUCCGCGGAAUCAGCACGCCGCGGKGAAAWAYKUUCCSGGGUCUUGUACACACCGCCCSYCMCACCAUGGGGAGUUUKUWWUGCCCAAASCCGGUGGCCYMWCUYUUUUAGRAAGGAGCCSUYUAGGGSAGAAA